UUGGAGGGCAAGUCUGGUGCCAGCAGCCGCGGUAAUUCCAGCUCUAAUAGCGUAUAUUAAAGUUGUUGCAGUUAAAAAGCUCGUAGUUGAAUUUCGGGAUCAGUAUGUUGGUCGUGCUUCGGUACGUACUGUCAUUACUGGUUUCUCCCUUCUGAAGAACCUUGAUGUCAUUAAUUUGGUGUCUUGGGGAAUCAGGACUGUUACUUUGAAAAAAUUAGAGUGUUUAAAGCAGGCAUACGCUUGAAUACAUUAGCAUGGAAUAAUGAAAUAGGACGUUUGAUUCUAUUUUGUUGGUUUCUAGGAUCGACGUAAUGAUUAAUAGGGAUAGUUGGGGGCAUUAGUAUUCAAUUGUCAGAGGUGAAAUUUUUGGAUUUAUUGAAGACUAACUACUGCGAAAGCAUUUGCCAAGGAUGUUUUCAUUAAUCAAGAACGAAGGUUAGGGGAUCGAAGACGAUCAGAUACCGUCGUAGUCUUAACCAUAAACUAUGCCGACUAGGGAUCGGAUGAUGUUAAUUUUUUAAUGACUCAUUCGGCGCCUUACGGGAAAC
This 548-nucleotide ribosomal RNA is filed under the name uncultured Glomus. Its description in RNAcentral is "SSU rRNA". It matches the Rfam family "Eukaryotic small subunit ribosomal RNA", at positions 548 to 1098 of the family's 1831-position model. Lineage: Eukaryota; Fungi; Glomeromycota; Glomeromycetes; Glomerales; Glomeraceae. The record is from RNAcentral.